AAACAAAGAUCUCCAAGGAAUUUGUACAGGAAACACUUCAAACUGUGCUGGACCUGAGCUCCUGCACCUUCCCUGCUACUGGAACUGUUUCUGUAUUAACUGGCGAGAUUCCUCUGCAGUAAAGAGAGCAGGAGGUGUAAACCAGUGUGAAGGUAGCUGAAAUUUCCUUAGAAAUGACUGAUAUUUACUUUUUGAACACUUUAAAGCACAUGUUUCCUUGGGAUUUGACAGAAGAAUACGCAGAACUUCCAUGAACUAUCAAACCAGAGGAUAUGAGAUCAGAAAGGACCCAGCUGACACUGAAAGGCUCAGUCUCAGCUCAAUUUGAAGCAUUUUAAAACUUCACAGCAGCAUCCUUUAAAGUAGUGCCACCAAAGAUAUGCCUAAUAAUUGGGAAGUUCCACCUGGUUUUAUUCACUUGUGCAGCAUAUAGGCAGAUUUUAAGCACAACUCAUAAUUAAUUCAGUUUACUCCCAAAGUCUUUCAGAGAACUCCAGCAGCAGCAGCAAGGGAACAGCUCUUACCCUGUGGCUCUACAAACAGGACAGAAUUCCCUUGGGUGCCCUCCACUUCAUCUUCAUCAUCACUGAUCAGGAUUAUGUUCUGCUCUUCCUCCUCCUUUUCCGAUGGCCACAUGGCCACUAAAUUCCAAACUGGAACUACUUGGCAGCAAGCAGGGUAACAGAGACUGUCCAUUCACACUUUUAAUGUGCUUUCCUCAACAAGGGAAGAAAAAGACUCAUCCAAGACCCAAAUUCUUUGUCUCUGUUGGGUAAACUGAACUACAGACAGAGAUGUUCCAUCCUCAGUGCACUCAGCAGCUCAAAACCCACUGGAGCUUCCAUCCAGAGCUGAGAGAAUCCUAAAAACAAGGAGAGGGGGAGAAAAAAAAAAAAAAAAGAAGAAAAAAUCCUUAAAA
This is a long non-coding RNA of Corvus hawaiiensis (hawaiian crow), 919 nucleotides long. RefSeq lists it as uncharacterized. NCBI's taxonomy places the organism in Eukaryota, Metazoa, Chordata, Aves, Passeriformes, Corvidae. The record is from RefSeq and is a predicted model, not a curated record. The transcript has 2 exons.